Long non-coding RNA from Helianthus annuus (common sunflower), 2749 nucleotides. RefSeq lists it as uncharacterized. The transcript is spliced from 2 exons. The record is from RefSeq and is a predicted model, not a curated record. NCBI's taxonomy places the organism in Eukaryota, Viridiplantae, Streptophyta, Magnoliopsida, Asterales, Asteraceae.
GGUCCAUAUCUCAUAUCUGAUUUGCAACUUCAGCCCUAAACCCACUCGUAAUUCCCUUCCUCUCAUACGGCGAUUUACGGCAAGAGACCACAGCCUUCACUCGUCGCUUAUUUCCGACAAGAAACAGAACACAACCAUGAUUUGUUGUUCGUUUUGGGGCUAUUAGGGUUCGUCCAGCAAGUCCAGUGAGUUCAAUUGUAAGACGGCGACAACGGUGGCGGCCACGGUUCCUUUGGCCUCCAGUCUCUUCGUAUCAGGCACAUCUCUCUCUUUAGGCGUCAAUUUCAUUUUGUAUGAGCUAAUCUGCAUCAGUUAUUCGUUGUUUAUAUGUAUUCUGUAUCAGUCGUAGCAGUUUAUUCGGCUUAAAUAGUGCAUGGUUUUACAAAUAUAAACGAAUGAAACGCCUUAUAAAUUUGCAUACUGUUGAUUUAUUACACAGAUGAGCUUGCUAUACGAUUCUAGAUACGAAUGAAUUGUUAUGAUUUGGAAAUUGUGUUUCCCAAUUUUUUUUUUAUUUUUAGGUAUUUUUCAGUGAGUUUAGUAUGUAGAUAUGUUUUUUAGGAAUUUGUAUUUAAUUUUUUAGGAACCGGAACUACCCACCGGAACCGGAACUACCCCUCACACUUUUUUUUGUAUUUCCCUUGUAACUGUAAGCUGUUUAUUAACCUCGUACGCUAAGAUUUUGGUUUGGAGAGUUACAAGUUUAUUGUUCAUAAACUUUAACCGGGUGACGAUGAAUCCCAACAUUUGACAUUUGCUUGGUUUAAAAAAGCGAGCUUAAAGCCUGAGGCAAUGAAGCGCUAGGGAUGUCGCUUUUUUUGCUCUGAGGCGACAAAUCAUGUGAAGCGUUUUGAAGCGCGCUUUAAGCCCGAAGCGACGCUUCAGCCCAAUCAGGUCAGAAGUUUAUAGCUUUAUUAUAUGUCACAUAUUCUCUUGCUUUUAUUUAAGAUACAUACACCUUUACUGCAUGAGAGUCAUAUAAGAUGGCAUCCAUUUCAUUUGUCUACUGUAGGCUCUAAAAAUGAUUUUCAGCCAUACGUUUUUUGCUGGUUAUGCAAUCUUCGAGUUGAAUGACUAGUAUCUUAUCGGUUAAUGACAGAUGCAGCGUCUAAUAGAACUCUAAGUAUGUUUGGAACGAUAUCUUUCCAAUAAAGGUUAGUAGAAUGCCGCCCCCAUUCAUUGUCGUUCUCGUAUGUUACAUUUUGAACAACACAGGUUAGUAAUUCCUCAAUUAGUGCAUUUUUUUCCAUUUACUUGUACAUGUGUUCAUUUUCUAUCGGCUAUUAAUGAAAUAAUUUCACCUUUGUACUCAUCUAUGAGACCUUAGUUGUUUCGUCGAAUAAUUAGAAAUUUGAAAAUGGUAUUCAAGUAUAAGGUACCUGUACCCGAACCCUACCCGGAAUCGGUUACACCGGGUAUGGUUUUUCAGGCCAAUAAGAAAUGCUAACCAGCGUUUAAUGCUUACUGGGACUUUUUUUGCAGAAUGAUCUGCAUGUAUGCUUCAUUUUUAGAGUUUUUUCUUAAUGGGCGGGUUGGGUAAUGGGUAAUAGUCAUUUUAAGGAUGUGUUGCAAUGGGCGGGUCGAGUUUGACCAACAGACCCUAGAUGUUGUUAAAUUGUUUGACCCAUCUGUCUUGUUCUUGUAGCUAUUUGAUUCUCAAGUUUCAUAAGUACAUGAGUUGAAAUUUUCACCUUUAUGUAAAAAUAUUGCACAUUCGGAGUUGCUUUUAUCUAACAUAAGAAUUCGAAAAACCAAUACAAAAUCGUUGAAAAUUUUUACAAAAAAAAGCUAUUAAAUUUCAGUAUAAUUAAUUAAAAAAAUCAUUUAAAUGAUAUCUGAACACAAAAUGGCAGAUAACAAUAGUUCAUUUAUCAGGGCCAAUUGCUAAAGCAAAUGACCAUUUUAGCCCUUUGCUACUGAAAAAGAAUAUAUAAAUAUUUGAUAUGUAUAUAUUUUUUUUUAUAUUUAUGAAUUUACAACUUUCUUAUCUCAAACUCUAUUAUAAAUUACAUACUGAUCAUGUAAGAUUUUUAAGUUCAAUACAUGUACAAGUUGUUCAAACGUCCAACAUAUGACUAGUAAAUGCAAAACUAUAGAUAAUAUAAAUCAAAAUCACAAAAACUCGAUGCACGUUACAAAACUAUAGAUCUAAUAAUUCUACUGAUAAAUUUUGAAAUCUAAACUAAAUUUACCCUUUUAAAAUGAAUUCUUAUACACAAUUAGCAACUUAUAUAAUGUCCAUGACUUAACAGGGAAAGUAACACCACCUUUAAGUGUUUUCGCCAUCAAGUCUAUAAGUCUAAAUAUCAAACACGUACCCAAGUAAUAUAUUGAAAUUAUUACAAGGGUAGAAGAACAUCAUUGUUGAACAAGGACCAGCCUUUUGAACUGGGUUUUUGAGAUGCGCUUUCAUUACCUGCUGGUUUACUAUCCAAUGUUAGAUCUAUUUGGUCACAUUUCUGAUUACUUUGAUUAAUAGUUGUUGGUUGUCUUCUGGUCUUGUGUUUAUGUUCGCAUGAUAGAAGAGUUGCUUGGCAAAGGAAUGUGAAGAUGGAGGUUGCUGAUAGCCUGAUACUACUUGGAAGCUAGAUGAAGCUGGAUUUUUGAAGACAGUAGAUCUGUUUUUGUGUAGUGUAUAACUGUAGAUUUUGCUUUUGUAUUGUUUUAUACUUUUAUGUAUGGUUUAAGGCUUAGAGUUCAUGUUUUGCACAAAUGGAACAUAAAUGUUAUCGAGUUUUGAACACAGUAA